GACGAACGCUGGCGGCGUGCUUAACACAUGCAAGUCGAACGGAAAGGCCCUGCUUUUGUGGGGUGCUCGAGUGGCGAACGGGUGAGUAACACGUGAGUAACCUGCCCUUGACUUUGGGAUAACUUCAGGAAACUGGGGCUAAUACCGGAUAGGAGCUCCUGCUGCAUGGUGGGGGUUGGAAAGUUUCGGCGGUUGGGGAUGGACUCGCGGCUUAUCAGCUUGUUGGCGGGGUAGUGGCUUACCAAGGCUUUGACGGGUAGCCGGCCUGAGAGGGUGACCGGCCACAUUGGGACUGAGAUACGGCCCAGACUCCUACGGGAGGCAGCAGUGGGGAAUAUUGCACAAUGGGCGGAAGCCUGAUGCAGCAACGCCGCGUGCGGGAUGACGGCCUUCGGGUUGUAAACCGCUUUCGCCUGUGACGAGGCGUGAGUGACGGUAAUGGGUAAAGAAGCACCGGCUAACUACGUG
Molecule: ribosomal RNA, 468 nt
Filed under: uncultured bacterium
Lineage: Bacteria
Description: partial 16S ribosomal RNA
Rfam family: Bacterial small subunit ribosomal RNA
Source: RNAcentral